CAAUAGAUAGUUUAAUGUAAAAAUAUAAUAUUUGGGGUAUUAAGAUUUAUUUAUUGAAUUGA
This 62-nucleotide transfer RNA is filed under the name Gnathostoma doloresi. RNAcentral's name for it is "tRNA-Pro". Lineage: Eukaryota; Metazoa; Nematoda; Chromadorea; Rhabditida; Gnathostomatidae. The record is from RNAcentral.